UGUGAUGGUAACUAUGGUUAUUACUUAUUUGGGCCUGUACACAUAUUAAUUAAUUAAGCCAAGAAAUUCUAUUAAAUAGGCUUAAAUAUAUAUUGUUUCCCAAAGAGUUGGGCUGUCUCACAUCUCGAAGUGCUGCACGUGCGAGGGCCCGUCCAUCGCUGCUUAAAGUUUUAAUUCAUGUUUGUUUUUUUCACCAGAUGUUUCCACCUGUUACCAGAAAUGUCCACAGUGCCGCAUGAUAUACAGAUACCAAGAAUGGAAGGACAGUCUCCACAACUUUGAUGACCAUGUUAUCUUAAACCUUAAGCUAUGUAUAUAUCUGAGACACAACCUACAGAACAGUGUUUCUGUUUCCAAGGUGUUAGACUCACUGGAAAGCUUGAGGAAGGUCAAAUUUCCUCCCAGAGAUACAAUUCUCCAUGCUUACUGCCACUUUGAGGCAUUGACAAGCCAUGCAUAUUCCUAUUCUUGCGUGUGCUGUGGCUAUUAUCCUCCAGUAUUUGUGAUGGACCUCCACAAGAAAAGUGUGUUUAACUUGCCCGGUUAGUCAGAAUAGAUGAGUGUUUGAUCUUUUUUCUUGGUUUGAUGUUCGUUUCAUUGUUAAAAUUUUUUUAAUCUUUCAGUGAGUGACAUGAAACAGCCCUCUGAGAAUUUCCCUGGCAAAGUGAAUAUAGAAGAUUUCUGGGAUUCUGUUCAGUUGGAAAUGAUUUCACAUGGCUUCUUUCAGAGUAUUUACAUGCUUAAAGUUUUGUCUUUAUUAUUAAAAGUACUUCACUUGUUUAUUAUGCAGUUUUCUUUCAUUAAUAUCUUCUUUGGUCUAUCUUUCUCAGGUCGUGCAAAGAACAUCUUUGCUGUGAAUCCUAGUUUUGAGCACUGGGCCCCAUGGAUUGGAAAGAAUACACGAAAAUCAGAAAUGGUGUUGAACACAGAGUUUGAAAAAGUUUCCUCCACUUUUCAGAAGUCCUCCACUGAAGCUGAAGUCAGCAUGGUGUCAGAGGACCGUCUAGUGGACGAGCUCAUGAAGCAGAAGGUUUCAACUGUGCGCAAGCUAUGCAAAGCCUGCAAUUUGGAUUCAAAGGGAUCACGGACAGAUCUUGUUAUAAGACUAAGGGAUGAGAUGAAGUCAAGGCACACGUAUGACAAUAUAUUCCAGAAAAUCUGGGGAGCAUCCGGUAAGGGUUUCAUAUAGUUCUUAAAAGCCAUUUUCAAAUGUCAAUUAGCACUUCCUAACAACUUUCUUGUUGCCAUUUUCUUUAAAAGUGAGUGGUCAGUGGUUUUGUGCCCUCAUAGUGUGGUCUACAGUUUAAAGUUCAACCUGAGGGCAGAGUUUCCAAAGGAUUUUGCAGAUCUUCUCAUGUCCUGGAAACACCUGCCAAAUGUCUGUGUUUAUGACUUUGCUUGGGGUUUGGCAACUCAUGUCAACCUCCGUUUUCCAACUUCCAUACCUUUCAAGCCACAUGAAGGGAGGCUGGCUGCGUCAACCCAAGACAACAUGACCGCAGCUCAGCAAAAAAAACUUCAGAUCUUCCUACCGUGGCUGACUGAAAUUAUGGAAAAUCCAGAUGAAGAGGGACAUCCAUUCACUGGUUCCUCAAACCAUUAUGUCUUAUAAAUUCCAUGAGGCCAACACCAAAGAUCCACAGGAAGUGUUGAGGAGAAUCAACCUGGUCACAGAACUGCAAAGUUCGUUGAAUAGCCAGGUAGCCAAGCAACUUUUUUCAAGUAUGCGGAAGAACAACUACUUCCUCAAUAACAUGGCACCAUCCACCCACAUAUUUUUGAUGAGAAGCCUAGUAAAUCAAAGAAACAUUAACACAAACACAAAGCUUUUGGAACAGCAACUACACAGUGGACAUAAGUCGCAUCGUUUGCAGGAUAUCACCAUGAAUGCCUUUGGACAUGCAGUAUUUGACAAUGACCAAUGUGGAAAACAUUGUAAAUCCAUCACAAAAUGUGAGAACGUUGGACCAUACAGAGCAUCAUGGACAAGUGAUCAAAGUCAUCCCACCCAGGAGAAGCUGCUCAACUACGUGUUGGACAUUGAGAAGCCAGUGACAGAGUUGAUUGUGAAAACAAAAAAGAGUGUCCUGACACGUGCUGACUUUUGGAGCCUUGGUUUGAACAAUGAAAUGGACGCAACAAUUGGAAAUGCGUGCUUUGAGCUUAUCGAACAAAUUCAAUCAAAGGUAUAAAAUGCAAAUUUUCG
Molecule: long non-coding RNA, 2206 nt
Organism: Fundulus heteroclitus (mummichog)
Lineage: Eukaryota; Metazoa; Chordata; Actinopteri; Cyprinodontiformes; Fundulidae
Exons: 6
Source: RefSeq, a predicted model, not a curated record